CCUACGGGUGGCAGCAGUGGGGAAUAUUGCGCAAUGGGCGAAAGCCUGACGCAGCGACGCCGCGUGAGGGAUGAAGGUCUUCGGAUCGUAAACCUCUGUCAGCAGGGAAGAUCGGUCACUGUGCUAAUCAGCAGUGAAUUGACGGUACCGGCAAAGGAAGCACCGGCUAACUCCGUGCCAGCAGCCGCGGUAAUACGGAGGGUGCGAGAGUUAAUCGGAAUUACUGGGCGUAAGGCGCUCGUAGGCGGUAUGUCAAGCCAGAGGUGAAAUCCCCGCGCUUAACGUGGGAACUGCCUUUGAAACUGGCAAACUGGAGUGUGUGAGAGGAUAGUGGAAUUCCAGGUGUAGGAGUGAAAUCCGUAGAUAUCUGAAGGAACAUCAGUGGCGAAGGCGACCAUCUGGAACAUAACUGACGCUGAGGAGCGAAAGCGUGGGUAGCAAACAGGAUUAGAUACCCCUGUAGUC
Molecule: ribosomal RNA, 465 nt
Filed under: uncultured bacterium
Lineage: Bacteria
Description: partial 16S ribosomal RNA
Rfam family: Bacterial small subunit ribosomal RNA
Source: RNAcentral